RNAcentral lists this ribosomal RNA (528 nucleotides) under uncultured Bacillus sp. Its description in RNAcentral is "bacterial SSU rRNA". It matches the Rfam family "Bacterial small subunit ribosomal RNA", at positions 529 to 1054 of the family's 1533-position model. The record is from RNAcentral. Lineage: Bacteria; Bacillati; Bacillota; Bacilli; Caryophanales; Bacillaceae.
AGGAUGCAAGCGUUAUCCGGAAUGAUUGGGCGUAAAGCGUCCGCAGGUGGCAGUUCAAGUCUGCUGUCAAAGACCGGGGCUUAACUUCGGAAAGGCAGUGGAAACUGAACAGCUAGAGUAUGGUAGGGGCAGAGGGAAUUCCUGGUGUAGCGGUGAAAUGCGUAGAUAUGUGGAGGAACACCAGUGGCGAAGGCGACUUUCUGGCCUAUAACUGACGCUGAGGCGCGAAAGCGUGGGGAGCAAACAGGAUUAGAUACCCUGGUAGUCCACGCUGUAAACGAUGAGUGCUAGGUGUUAGGGGUUUCGAUACCCUUAGUGCCGAAAUUAACACAUUAAGCACUCCGCCUGGGGAGUACGGCCGCAAGGCUGAAACUCAAAGGAAUUGACGGGGGCCCGCACAAGCAGUGGAGCAUGUGGUUUAAUUCGAAGCAACGCGAAGAACCUUACCAGGUCUUGACAUCCUUUGACCACCUGAGAGAUCAGGCUUUCCCCUUCGGGGGACAAAGUGACAGGUGGUCGACGCGGCCG